Molecule: unclassified non-coding RNA, 216 nt
Filed under: Mycolicibacterium fortuitum
Lineage: Bacteria; Bacillati; Actinomycetota; Actinomycetes; Mycobacteriales; Mycobacteriaceae
Description: partial 16S-23S ribosomal RNA intergenic spacer
Source: RNAcentral
GAAAAGGGUUGAGACACUGGGUCUUACCCGAGCCGUGAGGAACCGGUUGCCUGUAGUGGGCACGGUUUGGUGCACAACAAACUUUUUUGACUGCCAGACACACUAUUGGGCUUUGAGACAACAGGCCCGUGCCCCUUUUUUGGGGGGGGGGAUUCCGGUGGCGGGGGCCGCGUGGUUGUUCCUUCCUUUGGUGGGGGGGGGGGGUGGUUUGAUUUG